AAAACUUUCAACAACGGAUCUCUUGGUUCUGGCAUCGAUGAAGAACGCAGCGAAAUGCGAUAAGUAAUGUGAAUUGCAGAAUUCAGUGAAUCAUCGAAUCUUUGAACGCACAUUGCGCCCCCUGGUAUUCCGGGGGGCAUGCCUGUUCGAGCGUCAU
This 157-nucleotide ribosomal RNA is filed under the name Umbilicaria mammulata. Its description in RNAcentral is "5.8S ribosomal RNA". It matches the Rfam family "5.8S ribosomal RNA". Rfam says of the family: 5.8S ribosomal RNA (5.8S rRNA) is a component of the large subunit of the eukaryotic ribosome. It is transcribed by RNA polymerase I as part of the 45S precursor that also contains 18S and 28S rRNA. Lineage: Eukaryota; Fungi; Ascomycota; Lecanoromycetes; Umbilicariales; Umbilicariaceae. RNAcentral also lists the same sequence under 3 other names. The record is from RNAcentral.